GAAGUCCGCGAACAACAGCAGUAGCCUUUAACGUCUUGAAAAAACGUGAUACAAAUUAUCAUUAAAGUCAUUCAGUGUUGGAUUUAUCAUCAUGGACAUGUUGUACAAAGUCUCCGAGAAGACACUGGAGUUCCAGGCCGCGCUACAAAUCUUCUGAAGGGGGGCCACGGUCGCACGGAAGUCCUGCAUCUCGUCAAAACAAACCUAUCUGCAAAAUUUACACGCCGCCAUGUCUGAGAGAGGGUCCCAGCUGCCUCAUGAUGAGGUGCUGAUCCUUCAGGACUUCAACAACACGUCAUCAGGGAUUCUUCGGCUCUGAGCAUCACUCACUUUUGAACACCUCCACUGCAAUGCAUGCUGAGAUGACUCCGGCUCCCUGCCCCCAGACAAGGAACAGAUGGGCGAAGAAAAUUAACGAGUCAGUGAACUAGGUCCUGCAGGUACAGUAUAUGCUUGACUUGGCUAAUGGCUGACUGACUGGUUUCACGGGCACCCAUCCUUCAUCUAAUAUCAACAUUUGUACAGUUCAGUAUAACAACUUUCAAAUCUUUCUAAUUGUAUAUAGAAUCAGAAUCGGAAUCGUGUUUAUUGCUGAGUAGGUUCUCACGGACAAGAAAUUCGCUUUGGUGAUUGGUGCAUAACAAACAUAGUAAAUAGUGAAUAAAAAAGAGUGAAAAAUAAAUGAAUAAGGGGAGGAUAAGCCAAAUUAAUUUAAACCCCCCAAAAUGCAAGCACUGUAAGUACAAGGGAAGAGCAACUGUGCAAUAAACAUGUAUAAAAAGUAAAACUAUUCAGAAUUUGCUAUAUGACAAAUUGUGCAAUGUGUUGCUGAGAUUAGAAAAUAUGUGUGAAAAAUGGGUCUUUAUGACCUUUAAUAAUAUUGAAGGUUUUCUACAAACACUACAUUUUUUGUCUGUACCAUCUGUCCUGGGGGGAUUCUAUUUCUCAGUUUUCAAAGAAAACCAUGCACUAGAUUAUGUUUUCUUAGUAUCCACAAGAAAUUUAAUAAAUCUAUUUGUUUUGGUGCAAUACCUGCCCUCCGCACUGACUUUCUUGCCCCAUUUCCUGUGUUAUUUUGUUAAUACCCUCAUGUGUCUUUCUUCCUGUCCCAGUGCGUUCCCUGCCUUUGAGAUGACCGACCUGUUUCACUUGUCUCGUCCCUCCCAACAUGUGUAUCUAUUCCCUGUGUUUCCCUGCACUGUUUGUCACUUUUGUCUGUUCAUGGUCUGUGUUUCCCCGUGCUGCCGCUCUGUUCUCUUGUGUUUCACAGGCUCUUUUGAGUUUGGAUUUUUCUGUUUGCAUCUGCCUGUCAGGCAAAGCUGGAGCUUCUGUGAGUCUGAAAUAUCUUCAAAUGCACCAGCUCCGCCUUUGUUGUGCGACUGUAUUUGGGUCUCGGAAUCCUUUAACCACAACAGGAACAAGGACAAAUACACCCGACACAUAUACACCCAAAUGACUUAUUAAGGUGUUUGGACCAUCACACGCUGCCGGAACAGCUCCACUGAGCCUCGGCAUUGAUUCUGUACAUCUCUGAACUUUUACCGGAGGGGAGAAAGACAAAAAAAGAUCCAACAGAUAUUCCCUCAGUGGCUGUUUUGAUGAUGUGGCAGAGUGCACCGUCUAACAUGUCAGACAUAUAUCUCCCACAGGUGUUUGACUGGGAUCAGAUCUGGUGACUGUGAAGGCCACGGCGUACGAUUCACAUCAUUUUCAUACUCAUCAAACCGCUCAGUGACUCCCUAUGCCGUAUGGACGGGGGCAGUGUCAUCCAGAGUUUUUUCUUUAAUUUGUCACCAUGCUGAAGUUGUAACAACCCACUACUGAGGCGGAUGUGAUGUUUACUCUAAUGAGCAGCACGGCCGCCGCCGCCGAUCACACAUGAAUUAUGUCCUUAAACGCAUAAACAUUUGCCCACUCUUCCACUCGAGCUGUUUCAGAAUCACAUGCUGUUGAAUUAAAUGGAGUGCGCUAAACUGUGUAAUUCUUCACCUUUUACCCUCAGCUAAUGCAAACUCACCCCCUUGUCAAAACCGAAAGCAUGAAUAUUGACUUUUUAAGCCAUUAUAACCACUCUAUCUCCUGCUUUAUUUUAGUUUCCAAAGACCUGAAGUACACCAAGGAAGCCAGGGGAAUUUCAAAAUGACUUUGCAGCAGCUUCAAACUUGCUGUUAGCAUCCAGCCUCUGGCACAAACUGAAAUGUAUGGACCCCCCUGCUGGUGGCCCGGCUGGAUCUCCGCGAUGGCAGCAGACCGGGACUCACCGAGAGACUAACGGGAGCUGGAGGGACGGAACUGAUUUGGUUUCCAAAAGACGGAGGCAGUGGCCUCCCUGCUGGGCCUGCGGUCGGCCCGCCACACCAGGACCAUUCUGAACGAGUGGAACAACAGACUGGACAGUGAGGAGAAGGAGAUGCUGCGGGACUAUUUUAAUGGAACCGGAGUCCCCGACUCGGGCGACCCUUUGGUUUUUUAAUAAAUCAUCCUGACUCACCGGACACUGCUGCUGAUUUCCACAUGCAAACUGGAAAUGGUUUGUACAGAAACUGUGUUCUGGCCACUCACAGGAAGACGCUGAGUGAGAGGAAGGACAUGGUGUGGAAGGAAAGACUACCACGGGACAGCAAGCCGGUGUGGAGACUCUUGUACAAGCCUCCACUGAACAAGAGGUCCGGAGACCUGCAGUGGAGGAUCCUCCACGGGGCUCUGGCGGUGAAUCUCUUUCUGUCCAAGAUAAAUCCCGUUGUGUCCUCCACAUGUCCAUUCUGUCCACACACAGACACCAUCAUUCACUCUUAUCUGGACUGUCACAGACUUUUUAACAUUUUAAAAACUGUGUUUUUCGACUGUGGGGAAAGACUGGGGGGUGCUGGCUACGGAAAACAAGAUGCUAAAAAGUGGCAGUUGCUUUUGUGGUUGGUCAGGCCAAAUUGUCAAAUUAAUAAAAGCAGGAAAGACAAGAUAGGGAAUGUGUCCGGACACGGGCUGACACACUUGUACGUGUCUCUGGUGAGAGCCAG
Long non-coding RNA from Scophthalmus maximus (turbot), 3017 nucleotides. RefSeq lists it as uncharacterized. The record is from RefSeq and is a predicted model, not a curated record. The transcript is spliced from 4 exons. NCBI's taxonomy places the organism in Eukaryota, Metazoa, Chordata, Actinopteri, Pleuronectiformes, Scophthalmidae.